Aedes albopictus (Asian tiger mosquito) is the source of this 2274-nucleotide long non-coding RNA. RefSeq lists it as uncharacterized. The record is from RefSeq and is a predicted model, not a curated record. The transcript is spliced from 2 exons. NCBI's taxonomy places the organism in Eukaryota, Metazoa, Arthropoda, Insecta, Diptera, Culicidae.
CACGUUUAUUCUGCGUGUCGUACGACACGCGACGACAAUUCUCACCUCGUUGUCACGCGACUCUUGUCGCUUGAUUCUGAUUGUCGUCUCGAGUGAGGUGAGAGCUUCAUUUUCGAUGUGAGAAAAGAAAUGAACCAAAACAACUGCGAUGUUCAUCUGCCAAACUGUCAACGCGGUGGUGUUUAGCGAAAGCGCUUGAAAUAUGGCGUAUUCAAUUAUUGAUAUUUUUAAAAUUGUAUUCCGAUCUUGAUUUUUUCGGAGUAAAAUAGGAAAUUUCUAGAAAAAGUCACGUAUUUCAUAUGUUUUCAUCUUGUUUUAAUGCUUAGGUGGUAAUCAAAUUAAACUUUAUUACGGUACACCGACAUUUGCAAAGUUAUUUACAUGACGCAACUAUAAUUUCGUUUGGCCCUUAUUUGAGUUCACAAAAUUAGUCUUGUUUUGCUGUAUCCCGUAAACUUCUAUGAACAAAAUUGUUUCAAACUGCUGAUAUUUUUGAUAGUGACCGGGAAAAAACCGUAAAAAUUAUUAGAGCCGUUUCUCCCAAUUGUUGCUGAAUAAAUAAUUCAUCCAGAUCUAGAGUGUGAAUCGUUUGCCAUCACUAGCUAAUCCCUGGGAAAACAACUGCGGAUGUUCAGCCGCGUCAAAACGGAAAAAGUGCUGAACUCCAAGGUGAAAACACGAGCGGAUCAAAGUACAUCCGUGACCGUGGUUCUAAUUACUUGACCGCAGAGGAUCCUGGUGAACAAAUCUCGUGAUGUAAAUGCCGGACGCGGCAGAUAAGGCUGUUAAAGAUGGUCAGUAACGCGGCGGAUUGGUGUCAACCGUGUUAAUUCGAAUGAUCAGCUGCCAGCAUCCGGCAAACGAGCUGAAUGGUGUUUUCGAAGACAAUGGGAAACCUGCGGAUGUUUGUAUCACAUCCGCAGGUAGCGAAAUGAUCGAAUGUGGCCAAUGAUUUGUAUACAUGAACAAGUCCCUCCUUGGCUUCGGUGCGUGACGUUUUACACCUUCGUGAAGAAAUCUAUGCCCAUUUUCCGGUUUCGAUCUAGGUACUUGUUCUUGAUUUUGGCAGGUUGAGUAUACCACCUUCGCGUCGCGUACCAUGGAAAUAGUACGCUUGUUAUACACAGCGUGAGCGUGGUGCCGCUGAUGGUGGUCGAAAACGAGACUGCUGUAUAGAGACAAAAGUGUACCUAAACGACUGUGUUGAAGAUAUCCUAACUGUUUUUAAAGCAAUUUUAAAUGAAUAAAACAAAAUAUGCAUUGCAAUUUAUUUUCAAUUUAUCACUAUCAUUAAUUCCUACUACGCAAUUAUUCUUAUAUGUGAAAAUCCACCUGGAAAGUAGGAAAUACGUGGAUUUUUUGUGUACUAAAUAACUGGAAAAUCCUCAGAGAAUUUCAAGGAGGAUGACACAAGUUUUGCGAAGCCGAAAUAUCUCAAUAAAGACAAAAAAAAGUAAAACUUUUGCGGCUUUUACUGGUUUAUUUUCGUCUUUUCCGCCGUCACCUAUACUGCCCCCACUCGCAUAACAGUCCCAUCUUUGCUGGGAUUCCUAUUCAUAUGGGACAGUUUUGCGAGUGGGGGCAGUAUAAGAAGGUUAAAAACACCACUUGGAGAACCGACUUUCGAUCCGAGGCCCGCCGGGCCGAUGUUAUGCUUUUGGUCAAAAAAUCCGAAGUGACCUACUUAUCUAUUUAGAAAUGUCGCAACUCAAUUUGGAUUAGUGCAUAUUGUAGUUCUUAAUUAGCUCAAUAAUGCGCAAUAGAAAAACUAGAUUCAAAUUUACUUCGCAGCUGCAAAUUCGCCUGUGCUUCGAGCGACGACUUCGAUUUGGUGGUGCGACGAUAAUACUUGGUUACAGAGAUACCAUUCGAAGAGUAUUUCAGAGUAGUACAAUUUAGUUAUUUAGAAUUUCUGGUGGAUCAUUGAAGACAUGCGUAGAAGUUUCUGGAAAAUAUCUGACGACCCUCUUAACGAAACCCCCAAAGUAUUUUUUCUCUGAUCUAUUUUGAUCUUUCUAUAAUAUGUAUGUUCAAUAUGUAGAAACAUAUUGAACAGAAUUCUAGGAGUAAUCUGUUUCGAAUAGAAUAUCAAAAAUAAUCUUAUGUAAUAUAUUAGAAUGAACUCUCUUAUGAUUCCUUCUGGGACUCCUCCAGGGAUUCCAAAAAAAUGCUUAAGAGUGAUUUAUUUAACAAAAAAAUAUAUAUAAAAUAAAUAAAUAAAUGCUCCACGAAUUCUCCGGAGGGUUUCUUGUGGAUAUCUGAAUGAUUUUUAGA